GACGAACGCUGGCGGCGUGCUUAACACAUGCAAGUCGAACGGAAAGGCCCUGCUUUUGUGGGGUUCUCGAGUGGCGAACGGGUGAGUAACACGUGAGUAACCUGCCCUUGACUUUGGGAUAACUUCAGGAAACUGGGGCUAAUACCGGAUAGGAGCUCCUGCUGCAUGGUGGGGGUUGGAAAGUUUCGGCGGUUGGGGAUGGACUCGCGGGUUAUCAGCUUGUUGGUGGGGUAGUGGCUUACCAAGGCUUUGACGGGUAGCCGUCCUGAGAGGGUGACCGGCCACAUUGGGCCUGAGAUACGGCCCAGACUCCUACGGGAGGCAGCAGUGGGGAAUAUUGCACAAUGGGCGGAAGCGUGAUGCAGAAACGCCGCGUGCGGGAUGACGGCCUUCGGGUUGUAAACCGCUUUCGCCUGUGACGAAGCGUGAGUGACGGUAAUGGGUAAAGAAGCACCGGCUAACUACGUG
RNAcentral lists this ribosomal RNA (468 nucleotides) under uncultured bacterium. RNAcentral's name for it is "partial 16S ribosomal RNA". It matches the Rfam family "Bacterial small subunit ribosomal RNA", at positions 28 to 507 of the family's 1533-position model. The record is from RNAcentral.